Molecule: ribosomal RNA, 250 nt
Filed under: uncultured bacterium
Lineage: Bacteria
Description: partial 16S ribosomal RNA
Rfam family: Bacterial small subunit ribosomal RNA
Source: RNAcentral
UACGGGGGGUGCAAGCGUUAAUCGGAAUGACUGGGCGUAAAGGGCAUGCAGGCGGUGAGUUAAGUUAGAUGUGAAAGCCCUGGGCUCAACCUGGGAACUGCAUUUAAAACUGGCUGACUAGAGUUUUGUAGAGGGGGGUAGAAUUCCAGGUGUAGCGGUGGAAUGCGUAGAGAUCUGGAGGAAUACCGGUGGCGAAGGCGGCCCCCUGGACAGUAACUGACGCUCAGAUGCGAAAGCGUGGGUAGCAAAC